GAAUUUUGCGCAAUGGGCGGAAGCCUGACGCAGCAACGCCGCGUGGAGGAUGAAGGUCUUUGGAUUGUAAACUCCUGUCAGCAGGGAAAAAGCGACUUGACCCAAUACGUCAAGGAGUUGAUUGUACCUGCAGAGGAAGCCCCGGCUAACUCUGUGCCAGCAGCCGCGGUAAUACAGAGGGGGCAAGCGUUAUUCGGAAUUAUUGGGCGUAAAGGGCGCGUAGGCGGCCUAGCAAGUGGCGGGUGAAAUCCCUCGGCUUAACCGAGGAACUGCCUGCCAGACUGCCUGGCUCGAGACCGGGAGAGGUGAGUGGAAUUCCCAGUGUAGCGGUGAAAUGCGUAGAUAUUGGGAGGAACACCAGUGGCGAAGGCGGCUCACUGGACCGGAACUGACGCUGAGGCGCGAAAGCGUGGGGAGCAAACAGG
RNAcentral lists this ribosomal RNA (425 nucleotides) under uncultured bacterium. Its description in RNAcentral is "bacterial SSU rRNA". It matches the Rfam family "Bacterial small subunit ribosomal RNA", at positions 359 to 776 of the family's 1533-position model. The record is from RNAcentral.